AGAGUACAAUACAGUAUGUAGACAGUACAAUACAGUAUGUAGACAGUACAAUACAUAGACAGUACCAUACAGUACAAUACAGUACAUAGACAGUACAAUACAAUACAUAGACAGUACCAUACAGUACAUAGAGAGAACAAUACAGUAUGUAGACAGUACAAUACAGUACAAUACAGUACAUAGACAGUACAAUACAAUACAUAGACAGUACCAUACAGUACAUAGAGAGAACAAUACAGUAUGUAGACAGUACAAUACAGUACAAUACAAUACAUAGACAGUACCAUACAGUACAAUACAGUACAUAGACAUACAAUACAAUACAUAGACAGUACAAUACAAUACAUAGACAGUACCAUACAGUACAAUACAAUACAUAGACAGUACAAUGCUGUACAUAUACAGUACAAUACAGUACAUUGACAGAACAAUACAGUACAUACAGUAUACAUAAAAUGUGCAAUACAGUACAAUACAGUACAUAGACAGUAAAAUAUAGUACAUAG
Oncorhynchus tshawytscha (Chinook salmon) is the source of this 506-nucleotide long non-coding RNA. NCBI's taxonomy places the organism in Eukaryota, Metazoa, Chordata, Actinopteri, Salmoniformes, Salmonidae. The record is from Ensembl.